GAUCGAUGGCCGGAGGGACCGACCGACCGACUGACGGCCGGACCGACCGACCGACUGACCGACGGCCGGAGGGACCGACCGACCGACUGACGGCCGAAGCGACCGACCGACGGGUGCCAUCACCGGCCGAUUAACGGCCCACAGCCGACUGAGGAUGUGUCGGUCGGGCAUACUUUUUCUGACCGACUGAACCUAGAAGUCUGAUGGCCGACUCACGUAAGACUCGCC
RNAcentral lists this long non-coding RNA (228 nucleotides) under Elaeis guineensis (African oil palm). RNAcentral's name for it is "long non-coding RNA (EGUI_LNC001235)". The record is from RNAcentral. Lineage: Eukaryota; Viridiplantae; Streptophyta; Magnoliopsida; Arecales; Arecaceae.